Molecule: ribosomal RNA, 240 nt
Filed under: uncultured bacterium
Lineage: Bacteria
Description: partial 16S ribosomal RNA
Rfam family: Bacterial small subunit ribosomal RNA
Source: RNAcentral
AAGGUGACUGCCGGUGACAAACCGGAGGAAGGUGGGGGUGGAGGGCGAAUCAUCAUGCCCCUUAUGACCUGGGCUACACACGUGCUACAAUGGAUGGUACAAAGGGCUGCCAAGACCGCGAGGUCAAGCCAAUCCCAUAAAACCAUUUUCAGUUCGGAUUGUAGGCUGCAACUCGCCUACAUGAAGCUGGAAUCGCUAGUAAUCGCGGAUCAGCAUGCCUCGGUGAAUACGUUUCCGGGC